This is a non-coding RNA of Aspergillus awamori, 73 nucleotides long. The record is from the annotation of a GenBank genome assembly. Lineage: Eukaryota; Fungi; Ascomycota; Eurotiomycetes; Eurotiales; Aspergillaceae.
AGUCACGUGGUCUAAUGGUUAUGAUUUCUCGUUCACACCGAGAAGGUUCCCGGUUCGAUCCCGGGCGUGACUA